GACUGGUUGUCCAACGAAAUGGUUUAAAAUAUGUUAUGAAGGUGGGAAAACUAGAAGUAUUGUAUGUCCCUCAGAGUUCAUGUGGGCCUGGCAGUGGGAGGAGAGAAACAAAACGAAGCACAAAGCAAGUGUUGAACGGGCUUUCCCAGGAUCCCCAGAGAUCUGCAUAUUCCUGCAUAUUCCUUUUACAUUCAUCCAGGACUCAAGUACUGAAUGAGCUGAAUCCAUAACUUUUGCUUCUUAAGCAGAAUUCCUUGCAAAACCCCUCUCCAUGUCAGAAGACUUUUGGCAUUAUCUCUUUAGUCUCUCUGCUACAGAAG
Molecule: long non-coding RNA, 320 nt
Organism: Chelonoidis abingdonii (Abingdon island giant tortoise)
Lineage: Eukaryota; Metazoa; Chordata; Testudines; Testudinidae
Source: RefSeq, a predicted model, not a curated record